This 496-nucleotide ribosomal RNA is filed under the name uncultured bacterium. RNAcentral's name for it is "partial 16S ribosomal RNA". It matches the Rfam family "Bacterial small subunit ribosomal RNA", at positions 29 to 507 of the family's 1533-position model. The record is from RNAcentral.
AUGAACGCUGGCGGCGUGCCUAAUACAUGCAAGUCGAGCGAACGGACGAGAAGCUUGCUUCUCUGAUGUUAGCGGCGGACGGGUGAGUAACCCGUGGAUAACCUACCUAUAAGACUGGGAUAACUUCGGGAAACCGGAGCUAAUACCGGAUAAUAUUUUGAACCGCAUGGUUCAAAAGUGAAAGACGGUCUUGCUGUCACUUAUAGAUGGAUCCGCGCUGCAUUAGCUAGUUGGUAAGGUAACGGCUUACCAAGGCAACGAUGCAUAGCCGACCUGAGAGGGUGAUCGGCCACACUGGAACUGAGACACGGUCCAGACUCCUACGGGAGGCAGCAGUAGGGAAUCUUCCGCAAUGGGCGAAAGCCUGACGGAGCAACGCCGCGUGAGUGAUGAAGGUCUUCGGAUCGUAAAACUCUGUUAUUAGGGAAGAACAUAUGUGUAAGUAACUGUGCACAUCUUGACGGUACCUAAUCAGAAAGCCACGGCUAACUACGUG